UACGUAGGUCGCAAGCGUUGUCCGGAUUUACUGGGCGUAAAGAGCGCGCAGGCGGCUGGUCAAGUCCGAUGUGAAAUCUCCCGGCUUAACUGGGAAACUGCAUCGGAAACUGAUCGGCUUGAAGGUGGGAGAGGGUAGUGGAAUUCCCGGUGUAGUGGUGAAAUGCGCAGAUAUCAGGAAGAACACCCGUGGCGAAGGCGGCUCUCUGGGACGGUACUGACGCUGAGACGCGAAAGCGUGGGGAGCGAACAGG
RNAcentral lists this ribosomal RNA (253 nucleotides) under uncultured bacterium. RNAcentral describes it as "partial 16S ribosomal RNA". It matches the Rfam family "Bacterial small subunit ribosomal RNA", at positions 524 to 776 of the family's 1533-position model. The record is from RNAcentral.